CCCUUAGAUGUUCUGGGCAGCACGCGCGCUACAAUGGUCUUCGCAAACGGAUGCAUUCUCGAAGGAGAAUGCCAAUCUUGGAAUCUAUGCCUUGGUCGGGACAGUUGCUUGCAAUUUUUCGACUCGAACCAGGAAUUCCUUGUAAUCGUGAUUCAUCACAUCACGAUGAAUACGUCCCUGCCCUUUGUACACACCGCCCGUCGCUCCUACCGAUCGAAGAGUUAGGUGAAUUGUUUUGAUCGAUAAGAUUUGACUAUGGUCAACUCUCGUUGUGAAAUUCUCUGAAGCUGACUGUUUAGAGGAAGGAAAAGUCGUAACA
Molecule: ribosomal RNA, 319 nt
Filed under: uncultured eukaryote
Lineage: Eukaryota
Description: partial 18S ribosomal RNA
Rfam family: Eukaryotic small subunit ribosomal RNA
Source: RNAcentral